UGGACCACCGUGGAGAAUGCUCCAUGAGUGAAGGUCUGGGCAAGUGAUCGCCAUGGGAUGCCCAACCAUGAGACAGAUCCGGAGAGUUGAUUUGUGCCAACACAAGGUAAGUUUAUCAUGGGACAAGCAUUUAGUAAGCAGGAUUUAUUUAUUUCAGGACUUAAACAGUCUCUCAAGACACGAGGAACAAGGAUAAAAAAGAAAGAUUUUAAAAAGUUUCUUGAUUAUAUUGGGGACCUUUGUCCCU
Neotoma lepida (desert woodrat) is the source of this 247-nucleotide regulatory RNA element. It matches the Rfam family "Mason-Pfizer monkey virus packaging signal". Rfam says of the family: The packaging signal is located in the 5' UTR and is required for specific RNA encapsidation. The record is from Rfam. Lineage: Eukaryota; Metazoa; Chordata; Mammalia; Rodentia; Cricetidae.